GAGGUGAAAUUCUUGGAUU
This 19-nucleotide unclassified non-coding RNA is filed under the name Chlamydomonas reinhardtii. RNAcentral's name for it is "small RNA Cre_1618". The record is from RNAcentral. Lineage: Eukaryota; Viridiplantae; Chlorophyta; Chlorophyceae; Chlamydomonadales; Chlamydomonadaceae.